UCGGGAAUUUUGGGCAAUGGGCGAAAGCCUGACCCAGCAACGCCGCGUGAAGGAUGAAGUAUUUCGGUAUGUAAACUUCGAAAGAAUAGGAAGAAUAAAUGACGGUACUAUUUAUAAGGUCCGGCUAACUACGUGCCAGCAGCCGCGGUAAUACGUAGGGUGCGAGCGUUAAUCGGAAUUACUGGGCGUAAAGCGUGCGCAGGCGGUUGUGUAAGACAGGUGUGAAAUCCCCGGGCUUAACCUGGGAACUGCGCUUGUGACUGCACGGCUAGAGUAUGGCAGAGGGGGGUGGAAUUCCACGUGUAGCAGUGAAAUGCGUAGAGAUGUGGAGGAACACCGAUGGCGAAGGCAGCCCCCUGGGCCAAUACUGACGCUCAUGCACGAAAGCGUGGGGAGCAAACAGGAUUAGAUACCCCCGUAGUCCCUGAGCGGGCUGGCAAGGCGCAU
This 447-nucleotide ribosomal RNA is filed under the name uncultured bacterium. RNAcentral describes it as "bacterial SSU rRNA". It matches the Rfam family "Bacterial small subunit ribosomal RNA", at positions 355 to 825 of the family's 1533-position model. The record is from RNAcentral.